This 356-nucleotide ribosomal RNA is filed under the name uncultured bacterium. RNAcentral's name for it is "bacterial SSU rRNA". It matches the Rfam family "Bacterial small subunit ribosomal RNA", at positions 28 to 385 of the family's 1533-position model. The record is from RNAcentral.
GACGAACGCUGGCGGCGUGCUUAACACAUGCAAGUCGAGCGGUAAGGCCCUUUCGGGGGUACACGAGCGGCGAACGGGUGAGUAACACGUGGGUGACCUGCCUUUAGCUCUGGGAUAAGCCUGGGAAACUGGGUCUAAUACCGGAUACGACUCCGCGGUGCAUGCUGUGGGGUGGAAAGCCUUGUGCGGCUGGAGAUGGGCCCGCGGCCUAUCAGCUUGUUGGUGGGGUGAUGGCCUACCAAGGCGACGACGGGUAGCCGGCCUGAGAGGGCGACCGGCCACACUGGGACUGAGACACGGCCCAGACUCCUACGGGAGGCAGCAGUGGGGAAUCUUGCGCAAUGGGCGAAAGCCUG